CGGGGGAGCAAGCGUUGUUCGGAUUUACUGGGCGUAAAGGGCGCGUAGGCGGCCACCGCAAGUCGACUGUGAAAUCUCUGGGCUUAACCCAGAACGGUCAGCCGAUACUGCGGGGCUAGAGUGCAGAAGGGGCAACUGGAAUUCUCGGUGUAGCGGUGAAAUGCGUAGAUAUCGAGAGGAACACCUGCGGCGAAGGCGGGUUGCUGGGCUGACACUGACGCUGAGGCGCGAAAGCUAGGGGAGCGAACGGGAUUAGAUACCCCGGUAGUCCUAGCCUUAAACGAUGAAUGCUUGGUGUCUGGGGUUUUAUAGUCCCCGGGUGCCGUCGCUAACGCUUUAAGCAUUCCGCCUGGGGAGUACGGUCGCAAGACUG
This 373-nucleotide ribosomal RNA is filed under the name uncultured organism. RNAcentral's name for it is "bacterial SSU rRNA". It matches the Rfam family "Bacterial small subunit ribosomal RNA", at positions 527 to 896 of the family's 1533-position model. The record is from RNAcentral.